This 74-nucleotide transfer RNA is filed under the name Clostridiaceae bacterium. RNAcentral's name for it is "tRNA-Gly". It matches the Rfam family "tRNA". From Rfam's summary of the family: Transfer RNA (tRNA) molecules are approximately 80 nucleotides in length. Lineage: Bacteria; Bacillati; Bacillota; Clostridia; Eubacteriales; Clostridiaceae. RNAcentral also lists the same sequence under 6 other names. The record is from RNAcentral.
GCGGGUGUAGUUCAAUGGUAGAAUCCCAGCCUUCCAAGCUGGUCGUGAGGGUUCGAUUCCCUUCACCCGCUCCA